RNAcentral lists this long non-coding RNA (575 nucleotides) under Helicoverpa zea (corn earworm). RNAcentral describes it as "uncharacterized LOC124646020, transcript variant X1". Lineage: Eukaryota; Metazoa; Arthropoda; Insecta; Lepidoptera; Noctuidae. The record is from RNAcentral.
UGUUAGCGCGAACGUGCUCGGUGUCACCGGUAAACACGCGGGUAGAUAACAAUCUAUUUGGAUUGCCUCUAUAUUUCAUUUUUCCCGUGUGCACCGCUCUAACUAGAUAGAGGUGCCGCGUCACAUGAACGAAUAAGGGAAAUACGGGUCUGUUUCUUCUGUAACAAGUAUACCUAGUGUGAAAAUGGAAAGUAUGGAGUGGUGACGUCACUGGCUGCCGACCUUGCCACUGGAAAAAUGUGCCGCGUCGGUCGGUGAAGCUGCUGGCUCAUCAGUACGGCGCCGGGCGUCGCACCCGCGUCCAACACAACACACUUCUAACAACGAAGGUGAUACCUGCUCCAGGGUUUUAGUGGAACUUGUGAUGACAACAUUAAUGAUGAUCUUAUUAAUUUUUGGUGACGACGGUAGUUACGUUAAUGUACGCGUAGGUAUUGUUUUCUCUUUUCGUGUCUGAAAUAGAGUUCUGAAUGUACAUGUAAAGAGUCCAUAACUAAAGACGUUUAAACGAAAGACGUAGAUGUACCUUUGUGAUGGGUAAUUAUGUAGCUCAAUAAAGAAAACAAAUGCGAAAA